AGGGGGUCAACCGCCUUAGCCGGGGGAACCUGGCCAGGCCCGGAAGGGAGCAACCUAACCUCGGCCGUCGACGUUCAUGGGUCACCGGGGCAGAG
This 95-nucleotide non-coding RNA is filed under the name Staphylothermus hellenicus DSM 12710. Lineage: Archaea; Thermoproteati; Thermoproteota; Thermoprotei; Desulfurococcales; Desulfurococcaceae. The record is from RNAcentral.